This 586-nucleotide ribosomal RNA is filed under the name uncultured bacterium. Its description in RNAcentral is "bacterial SSU rRNA". It matches the Rfam family "Bacterial small subunit ribosomal RNA", at positions 338 to 943 of the family's 1533-position model. The record is from RNAcentral.
CCUACGGGAGGCAGCAGUGGGGAAUAUUGGACAAUGGGCGAAAGCCUGAUCCAGCAAUGCCGCGUGAGUGAUGAAGGCCUUCGGGUCGUAAAGCUCUUUUACCAGGGAUGAUAAUGGCAGUACCUGGAGAAUAAGCUCCGGCUAACUCCGUGCCAGCAGCCGCGGUAAUACGGAGGGAGCUAGCGUUGUUCGGAAUUACUGGGCGUAAAGAGUACGUAGGCGGUUAUUCAAGUCAGAGGUGAAAGCCCGGGGCUCAACCCCGGAACUGCCUUUGAAACUAGAUAACUAGAGUCUUGGAGAGGUUAGUGGAAUUCCGAGUGUAGAGGUGAAAUUCGUAGAUAUUCGGAAGAACACCAGUGGCGAAGGCGACUAACUGGACAAGUACUGACGCUGAGGUACGAAAGCGUGGGGAGCAAACAGGAUUAGAUACCCUGGUAGUCCACGCCGUAAACGAUGAUAACUAGUUGUUCGGUCACUUGGUGACUGAGUGACGCAGCUAACGCAUUAAGUUAUCCGCCUGGGGAUACGGUCGCAAGNUUAAAACUUAAAUGAAUUGACGGNUGNGANGCGAGCGACACGAGGAGAG